This 303-nucleotide ribosomal RNA is filed under the name Triticum aestivum (bread wheat). RNAcentral describes it as "partial small subunit ribosomal RNA". The record is from RNAcentral. Lineage: Eukaryota; Viridiplantae; Streptophyta; Magnoliopsida; Poales; Poaceae.
AUGUCAUAUCUUCUGUGUUCACAGUUAACCUGCAGACUCAGUUAUUCUACCACCAUUCUCAACAAAAAUAUGAUCCAAAUAACACUGGUUACAACAGAUGACCAAAGAAUAAGAGCAAAAUCACAGCAUCCACCAACAGUUUCCAGGCAAAAUAACCCUCUCCGGGCAUCUCAUUUUGAUCUAGCUGUUGACGACGGCGCAGUGCUUCCUGAUCUCCCCCUGAGAGCCGGUCUUGACCUGCACGGCGCCCAGCCUCGCCAUGGACCACGCAAACACCUGGAAGAACACCUCCGGCGGGCUUGA